Non-coding RNA from Pelobates cultripes (western spadefoot toad), 1038 nucleotides. The record is from the annotation of a GenBank genome assembly. NCBI's taxonomy places the organism in Eukaryota, Metazoa, Chordata, Amphibia, Anura, Pelobatidae.
CCACAUUGUCACAAAAGGUAGAAUCCACAAAAUAACAAUUUACACUGGAAGCACUGCAAACCGAUUCCCAGGUAGGUCUUUACUCAGUUUAAUAUUUCAAGAUAAAUACAAGGAAAAAAGCAACUGAACUGCAUUUUUCUAUUUUUAUUUUUUUUUCAGUCUGAUGACAAAGGCCUCAAGUGAAAAUCUGUAGCGUUAACAACUCUAACCCUCAUUUGUGCCAUCUAUGCCCACUAUGUAAAUCAUACAACACACAGAGUGCCUGUCUAAACUUUAGGCAGGCUUUGACACCAGUUUAUAAGGUUACAAUAUGCAAGACAACAUGUUGGCUUAGGAGAGUACAGAGGUAAUACAAUUUUGUUUGCACAUGGCCAUCAGGACUUUUAAAUUUGUUUUAUAAUGAUGGGACAGGGAAGUUGCAAACAAACUGGCAUUUCCAAAUCACUUAAGUUACUCAGUCCAAGCUGUGAACUCCAGACAUAACAUGCAUAAGGCUUAAAACUUUAUUUUUUCGUUUUAGAGUUCUAGGUCUCAUUUUGUUCUAAGAUAUACUAAGGGGUACUUUAAAAAUCACACUGCCCAGUCAACUGUCCUUUUAUCCUAGGUGUAUGUAAGCAAUAUUUUUCAUCAACACUUGAUUUAAACUUUGCAUCUGGAGCAGAUUUGAUGCAACAAAACUAAUGCUGUCAGUUCAGCUGGACAUUCAAAAUAAACACCUGCAAGGACAUCAACACCUAAAGCAUUCAAGCUGAAUUUGACUGCAGUGAUUUGGAAAAUAGUCAGUUAACCUGCAUAGCCCAUUUCCGCUUCGAGCAAACACAUGAAAACAAUUGGAAAAAAAAUAAUGAGGUUUUGAAAAGGCCAUAUGCUUUGGUGACAAUCAGAACCAAAUUUAAGAUCUGUUUAUCUUGACCUGAGCACUUUGCUCGAGCCUGGGAAUAUGUUUAUUUGGUCAUGGCCUUGAUGGCAACGGCACACUCCUCAUUCAUAGCACACAAGACGGAGAUCAUAAUCUCUUCUCCGCCUUCAAAUCUAGUC